GGUGGUUCAGUGGUAGAAUGCUUGCUUUGCAUGCAUGAGGACCUGGGUUCGAUUCCUCAGCACCA
This 65-nucleotide transfer RNA is filed under the name Dipodomys ordii (Ord's kangaroo rat). It matches the Rfam family "tRNA". Rfam says of the family: Transfer RNA (tRNA) molecules are approximately 80 nucleotides in length. Their secondary structure includes four short double-helical elements and three loops (D, anti-codon, and T loops). Further hydrogen bonds mediate the characteristic L-shaped molecular structure. tRNAs have two regions of fundamental functional importance: the anti-codon, which is responsible for specific mRNA codon recognition, and the 3' end, to which the tRNAs corresponding amino acid is attached (by aminoacyl-tRNA synthetases). tRNAs cope with the degeneracy of the genetic code in two manners: having more than one tRNA (with a specific anti-codon) for a particular amino acid; and 'wobble' base-pairing, i.e. permitting non-standard base-pairing at the 3rd anti-codon position. Lineage: Eukaryota; Metazoa; Chordata; Mammalia; Rodentia; Heteromyidae. The record is from Rfam by way of RNAcentral.